GACGAACGCUGGCGGCGUGCUUAACACAUGCAAGUCGAACGGAAAGGCCCUUCUUUUGUGGGUUGCUCGAGUGGCGAACGGGUGAGUAACACGUAAGUAACCUGCCCUUGACUUUGGGAUAACUUCAGGAAACUGGAGCUAAUACCGGAUAUGAGCUCCUGCUGCAUGGUGGGGGUUGGAAAGUUUCGGCGGUUGGGGAUGGACUCGCGGCUUAUCAGCUUGUUGGUGGGGUAGUGGCUUACCAAGGCUUUGACGGGUAGCCGGCCUGAGAGGGUGACCGGCAACAUGGGGACUGAGAUACGGCCCAGACUCUUAGGGGAGGCAGAAGUGGGGAAUAUUGAACAAUGGGCGGAAGCCUGAUGCAGCAACGCCGCGUGCGGGAUGACGGCCUUCGGGUUGUAAACCGCUUUCGCAUGUGACGAAGCGUGAGUGACGGUAAUGGGUAAAGAAGCACCGGCUAACUACGUG
RNAcentral lists this ribosomal RNA (468 nucleotides) under uncultured bacterium. Its description in RNAcentral is "partial 16S ribosomal RNA". It matches the Rfam family "Bacterial small subunit ribosomal RNA", at positions 28 to 507 of the family's 1533-position model. The record is from RNAcentral.